Molecule: ribosomal RNA, 627 nt
Filed under: Triticum aestivum (bread wheat)
Lineage: Eukaryota; Viridiplantae; Streptophyta; Magnoliopsida; Poales; Poaceae
Description: partial small subunit ribosomal RNA
Source: RNAcentral
AUGUGGCCGUCGGCAACUACGUUAGUUCUGGUAGUGAUUCCCACCGCUCCUAAUGCAAGGCAUGCAUUUUCUCCACCUGGACGUGAUGGUCGUUUGGAUGGUUCGACACCAAUUGAGUUGGGCUCGCUGAGGUGCAUUCGUCGCACAUUUGGACAAGCUGAGAUUAACGAUUGGACUAGAUUACGGGAUUCCCUCCCGCGCGUGCUCACGGACUCUCCGGACACGGUGUUCUGGCGACUCGCGCCGUUGGCGGAAUUCUCUGUGAGCACGGCAUACCAGUCCCUUUGCCCGUCUCAGGCCACCCCAUGGCUGUCCCCACUCUGGAAAGCCCCCAUCCCUCUAAAGAUUAAGAUCUUCGUUUGGCAAUUAUUACGGGACUGCCUCCCCUCAGGGACUGAGGUGCGUAAACGACACGGACCUGGUGAUGGUCUUUGCCCUCUUUGUGCGGUACUGGAAACCGGGACCCAUAUCCUAUUCUCGUGUACCGCGGAGAGGGUACUUUGGGCGUAUGUCCGCGAAGCGUUGGGGCCUGACUGGGAGGCCCUCAACCUCGCUGAGUUUCUCCAACUUAGAGCUCUUCAGCCGUCACGUCAUCGCCGCCUUUUUGGCUUAUUUUUGCGGCGAUAA